RNAcentral lists this ribosomal RNA (465 nucleotides) under uncultured bacterium. Its description in RNAcentral is "SSU rRNA". It matches the Rfam family "Bacterial small subunit ribosomal RNA", at positions 26 to 518 of the family's 1533-position model. The record is from RNAcentral.
AGGAUUAACGCUGGCGGCGUGCCUAACACAUGCAAGUCGAACGAGGUAGCAAUACCUAGUGGCAGACGGGUGAGUAACGCGUGGUCAACCUACCGUUGAGUGGGGGAUAACUAGCCGAAAGGUUAGCUAAAUACCGCAUACGUGUCCGAGGGGCAUCCCUUGGCCAUAAAAGGAGCAAUCCGCUCGAUGACGGGACCGCGUCCCAUUAGCUAGAUGGUGGGGUAACGCCUACCAUGGCACCGAUGGGUAGCUGGUUUGAGAGAGCGACCAGCCACACUGGGACUGAGAAACGGCCCAGACUCCUACGGGAGGCAGCAGUGAGGAAUUUUCCGCAAUGGGCGCAAGCCUGACGGAGCGACGCCGCGUGUGGGAAGAAGGCCUUCGGGUCGUAACCACUGUCGAAGGGGAAGAUAAUGACGGUACCCGUUGGAGGAAGCCCCGGCGUAACUACGUGCCAGCAGCCGC